UAACAAGGCCCUAUGCUUUUUAUUAGACUCAUUUUGUUAAUCCCUAAAAUUAAGGAAUUCCAGGUGUAUGGAGCCAAGUAUGCAAAUGAUUUCCUUCCGUCUAGCUGCUGAUUUCAUAAAAGGUCCUCCAAACAGUGAAAUAAAACACAACAUGCAUAACGUGGAAAGCUUUACUACGUAUGAGAGAACAGUCUGGCUUUACAGAGUUAAUCACAGUGUGCUGUAAACUCACCACAGAUACAAAUUUGAACAAAGCUGUAAAGUAAGUAUAAAUAAGUAAAUUAAAGGAAUGAAUAAAAUCGAAGGGGGAAAAAAAAAAGGAAAAAGCAUGCUUUCAGUUUACUGGUUGUCAGCUCAGCUGUUGAUACAGCUGAAAACAAUAUACCUAAAAUUAAGCUUAUCAGACUAGUAUAAGGCAUACAGAUCUCUGCUGCAGCAGAAACAGAUGUCAAUUGAUAAAGGAAACCAUCAUAAUCUGCUGAAGAUGUACCGAUUAGUCUGGGGGUGCUACGUUGCUGUCUAUGCUCCGUGAAGCUAAUGCAUUUAUCUAUGGGAGUCUGCUGGGUAUCAGAAGUUGGUUACUCUAGUUCCAGUUCAUAGAAGUUUGUUGUGAAAAAAAGUGCUAUGAAUUUAAACAGUUGGCAAGACAGAGAUGCCAAAAUGUACAACACUGCUACCGCAGGGAAGGCUGGAAAAAAAUUGUGUGUAUUGAUCUGGAUUCUGCCCUCGAACAUUUUGCUGCCAGACAGAAUAUUAAACAGGCUUAGCCCCUGGAGUGAAAAUAUGGGACCUAGAACCAGUAAGCCUUUUCUGAAUCUUGACGGAUUCUCAAACUUUAGUCAUGAGGGACCAGCUGUCUCCACAUCUCCUGGCUUCCCAAUUAAUAAUUCUCAGAGAUCUCAAAUAGCUGCUGCUACUGCCUGCUCACACAACUCUCCAGCUAUCCCACUUGUUAAAGAAAAUAACUUAAAAUGAUAUUCCUUAGUAUCAUUCCUUACUAUAAUUCCUGCUAUUUUCCCAUAAAAUCUGGUGUCUCCUUCAGUCUUUGUUAAUAUAUCCUGCAAUGUUGUGAUAAAACUUAUUUCAAAUGGUUCUUACCUGAUUAGCCAAAUACUGUUAUUUUACGGAAGUAUGCUUGUAACAUAGAUGUUUGUCUUUUUAUUCAAUGACACUAAAUGCAUUUUGCUAGCAUUUUGAUAUAGAGAAAGCUUUUAAAUGUGAAAGAUCUAAACACUAGUGAAGUAUAUGCUAAGUGAAUAAGCGUG
Molecule: long non-coding RNA, 1265 nt
Filed under: Anas platyrhynchos platyrhynchos (common mallard)
Lineage: Eukaryota; Metazoa; Chordata; Aves; Anseriformes; Anatidae
Description: lncRNA (ENSAPLG00000025851.1)
Source: RNAcentral